Molecule: ribosomal RNA, 433 nt
Filed under: uncultured bacterium
Lineage: Bacteria
Description: partial 16S ribosomal RNA
Rfam family: Bacterial small subunit ribosomal RNA
Source: RNAcentral
AACGAACGCUGGCGGCAUGCCUAACACAUGCAAGUCGAACGAGACCUUCGGGUCUAGUGGCGCACGGGUGCGUAACGCGUGGGAACCUGCCCUUAGGUUCGGAAUAACUCCCCGAAAGGGGUGCUAAUACCGGAUAAUGUCUUCGGACCAAAGAUUUAUCGCCUUUGGAUGGGCCCGCGUUGGAUUAGCUAGUUGGUAGGGUAAAAGCCUACCAAGGCGACGAUCCAUAGCUGGUCGGAGAGGAUGCCCAGCCACACUGGGACUGCGACACGGCCCAGAAUGCUACGCGACGGUGGAGAGUGGAAUAUUAUAGGCGGAGGCCUGGUGCAGCACCGCCGCGUGCGGUAUGUGAGCCUGGGGUUAGGAUUCCAAUGUCGUCUUUGCCGAGGCGUGAGUGACGGUACCGGGUGAAGAAGCACCGGCUAACUACGUG